UGUCGCUCAACGGAUAAAAGGUACCCCGGGGAUAACAGGCUGAUCUUCCCCAAGAGUCCAUAUCGACGGGAUGGUUUGGCACCUCGAUGUCGGCUCGUCGCAUCCUGGGGCUGGAGUCGGUCCCAAGGGUUGGGCUGUUCGCCCAUUAAAGCGGUACGCGAGCUGGGUUUAGAACGUCGUGAGACAGUUCGGUCCCUAUCCGCUGUGCGCGUAGGAAUAUUGAGAAGGGCUGUCCCUAGUACGAGAGGACCGGGACGGACGAACCUCUGGUGUGCCAGUUGUCCUGCCAAGGGCAUGGCUGGUUGGCUACGUUCGGAAAGGAUAACCGCUGAAAGCAUCUAAGCGGGAAGCCUGCUUCGAGAUGAGUAUUCCCACCCUCUUGAGGGGUUAAGGCUCCCAGUAGACGACUGGGUUGAUAGGCCAGAUGUGGAAGCCCGGUAACGGGUGGAGCUGACUGGUACUAAUAGGCCGAGGGCUUGUCCUCAGUUG
This 489-nucleotide ribosomal RNA is filed under the name Streptomyces sp. SID4937. Its description in RNAcentral is "partial 23S ribosomal RNA". It matches the Rfam family "Bacterial large subunit ribosomal RNA", at positions 2443 to 2925 of the family's 2925-position model. Lineage: Bacteria; Bacillati; Actinomycetota; Actinomycetes; Kitasatosporales; Streptomycetaceae. The record is from RNAcentral.